RNAcentral lists this ribosomal RNA (995 nucleotides) under uncultured bacterium. RNAcentral describes it as "bacterial SSU rRNA". It matches the Rfam family "Bacterial small subunit ribosomal RNA", at positions 355 to 1375 of the family's 1533-position model. The record is from RNAcentral.
UGGGGAAUAUUGCACAAUGGGGGAAACCCUGAUGCAGCGACGCCGCGUGGAGGAAGAAGGUCUUCGGAUUGUAAACUCCUGUUGUUGAGGAAGAUAAUGACGGUACUCAACAAGGAAGUGACGGCUAACUACGUGCCAGCAGCCGCGGUAAAACGUAGGUCACAAGCGUUGUCCGGAAUUACUGGGUGUAAAGGGAGCGCAGGCGGGAAGACAAGUUGGAAGUGAAAUCCAUGGGCUCAACCCAUGAACUGCUUUCAAAACUGUUUUUCUUGAGUAGUGCAGAGGUAGGCGGAAUUCCCGGUGUAGCGGUGGAAUGCGUAGAUAUCGGGAGGAACACCAGUGGCGAAGGCGGCCUACUGGGCACCAACUGACGCUGAGGCUCGAAAGUGUGGGUAGCAAACAGGAUUAGAUACCCUGGUAGUCCACACCGUAAACGAUGAUUACUAGGUGUUGGAGGAUUGACCCCUUCAGUGCCGCAGUUAACACAAUAAGUAAUCCACCUGGGGAGUACGACCGCAAGGUUGAAACUCAAAGGAAUUGACGGGGGCCCGCACAAGCAGUGGAGUAUGUGGUUUAAUUCGACGCAACGCGAAGAACCUUACCAAGUCUUGACAUCCUGCGACGGUUCUGGAAACAGAACUUUCCUUCGGGACGCAGAGACAGGUGGUGCAUGGUUGUCGUCAGCUCGUGUCGUGAGAUGUUGGGUUAAGUCCCGCAACGAGCGCAACCCUUAUGGUCAGUUACUACGCAAGAGGACUCUGGCCAGACUGCCGUUGACAAAACGGAGGAAGGUGGGGAUGACGUCAAAUCAUCAUGCCCUUUAUGACUUGGGCUACACACGUACUACAAUGGCGUUAAACAAAGAGAAGCAAGACCGCGAGGUGGAGCAAAACUCAGAAACAACGUCCCAGUUCGGACUGCAGGCUGCAACUCGCCUGCACGAAGUCGGAAUUGCUAGUAAUCGUGGAUCAGCAUGCCACGGUGAAUACGUUCCC